Molecule: ribosomal RNA, 422 nt
Filed under: uncultured bacterium
Lineage: Bacteria
Description: partial 16S ribosomal RNA
Rfam family: Bacterial small subunit ribosomal RNA
Source: RNAcentral
UGGGGAAUAUUGCACAAUGGGCGCAAGCCUGAUGCAGCCAUGCCGCGUGUGUGAAGAAGGCCUUCGGGUUGUAAAGCACUUUCAGCGAGGAGGAAGGUGGUGAGCUUAAUACGCUCAUCAAUUGACGUUACUCGCAGAAGAAGCACCGGCUAACUCCGUGCCAGAGCCGCGGUAAUACGGAGGGUGCAAGCGUUAAUCGGAAUUACUGGGCGUAAAGCGCACGCAGGCGGUUUGUUAAGUCAGNUGUGAAAUCCCCGGGCUCAACCUGGGAACUGCAUUUGAAACUGGCAAGCUAGAGUCUCGUAGAGGGGGGUAGAAUUCCAGGUGUAGCGGUGAAAUGCGUAGAGAUCUGAGGAAUACCGGUGGCGAAGGCGGCCCCCCUGGACGAAGACUGACGCUCAGGUGCGAAAGCGUGGGGCAGC